CCUACGGGUGGCUGCAGUGGGGAAUAUUGCGCAAUGGGCGAAAGCCUGACGCAGCGACGCCGCGUGAGGGAUGAAGGUCUUCGGAUCGUAAACCUCUGUCAGCAGGGAAGAACGGUCACUGUGCUAAUCAGCAGUGAAUUGACGGUCCCUGCAAAGGAAGCACCGGCUAACUCCGUGCCAGCAGCCGCGGUAAUACGGAGGGUGCGAGCGUUAAUCGGAAUUACUGGGCGUAAAGCGCUCGUAGGCGGUUUGGCAAGGCAAGGGUGAAAUCCGCGCGCUCAACGUGGGAACUGCCUUUGAAACUGGCAGACUGGAGUGUGGGAGAGGAAAGUGGAAUUCCAGGUGUAGGGGUGAAAGCCGUAGAUAUCAGGAGGAACAUCAGUGGCGAAGGCGACUAUCUGGAACAUAACUGACGCUGAGGAGCGAAAGCGUGGGUAGCAAACAGGAUUAGAUACCCGAGUAGUC
RNAcentral lists this ribosomal RNA (465 nucleotides) under uncultured bacterium. RNAcentral describes it as "partial 16S ribosomal RNA". It matches the Rfam family "Bacterial small subunit ribosomal RNA", at positions 338 to 795 of the family's 1533-position model. The record is from RNAcentral.